RNAcentral lists this ribosomal RNA (200 nucleotides) under Oidiodendron maius. Its description in RNAcentral is "partial large subunit ribosomal RNA". It matches the Rfam family "Eukaryotic large subunit ribosomal RNA", at positions 82 to 279 of the family's 3401-position model. The record is from RNAcentral. Lineage: Eukaryota; Fungi; Ascomycota; Leotiomycetes; Myxotrichaceae.
AGUAACGGCGAGUGAAGCGGCAACAGCUCAAAUUUGAAAUCUGGCCCUCUCAGGGUCCGAGUUGUAAUUUGGAGAGGAUACUUCGGGUGUGGCCCCGGUCUAAGUUCCUUGGAACAGGACGUCACAGAGGGUGAGAAUCCCGUACGUGCCCGGUGGCCGCCCCCGUGUGAAGCUCCUUCGACGAGUCGAGUUGUUUGGGA